GAUGAGAUAGUUGGGUCAUAUGGUAGUUCUAGUCCUAAUUUUUUGAGGAAUCUCCAUACUACUUUCCAGAGUGGUUGCACUAACUUGCAGUCCCAUGAACAAU
RNAcentral lists this microRNA precursor (103 nucleotides) under Marmota monax (woodchuck). The record is from RNAcentral. Lineage: Eukaryota; Metazoa; Chordata; Mammalia; Rodentia; Sciuridae.